UCUUUUGGGUCUUGUAAUUGGAAUGAGUACAAUUUAAAUCUCUUAACGAGGAACAAUUGGAGGGCAAGUCUGGUGCCAGCAGCCGCGGUAAUUCCAGCUCCAAUAGCGUAUAUUAAAGUUGUUGCAGUUAAAAAGCUCGUAGUUGAAUUUUGGACCUCGGCCAGACGGUCUGCCUGUUUGGGUACGUACUGUCUUGGCUAGGUCUUUCCUUCUGGAGAGCCUAGGUGUCGUUUACUCGGCGUCUAGGGGAUCCAGGACUUUUACUUUGAAAAAAUUAGAGUGUUUAAAGCAGGCUUACGCUUGAAUACAUUAGCAUGGAAUAAUAGAAUAGGACUUUGGUUCUAUUUUGUUGGUUUCUAGGACCAAGGUAAUGAUUAAUAAGGAUAGUUGGGGGCAUUAGUAUUUA
Molecule: ribosomal RNA, 406 nt
Filed under: Babesia sp.
Lineage: Eukaryota; Apicomplexa; Aconoidasida; Piroplasmida; Babesiidae
Description: SSU rRNA
Rfam family: Eukaryotic small subunit ribosomal RNA
Source: RNAcentral